This is a long non-coding RNA of Ailuropoda melanoleuca (giant panda), 324 nucleotides long. RefSeq lists it as uncharacterized. The transcript is spliced from 3 exons. Lineage: Eukaryota; Metazoa; Chordata; Mammalia; Carnivora; Ursidae. The record is from RefSeq and is a predicted model, not a curated record.
GAGAGGGCUGCGUUAUUGAGACCACUUGGACUGGCUGCUCGUCUGAAGCUAGUUAAGGCCUCUAUAUAAACUCUAAAUGUUUGGUGGGUGGGUGCAGAGUUCUCCUCGUCUUGCUGUGAGUCGGGACGCGCCUGGUGGCUUUCCCCUUCAAUUUUAGACACUUCCAGAAAUCCAGCGUAAUCUACAUCAUGUGACUGCUCCAGAUAGCUACCAGAAGUGCUCCUAGUAGAUGUCCAACAAAUAAUUGAACGUACUAUGCUGUACAUUGCCCGAUAGCCCGUGGAGAGCAAAGUCACUGCUUAUGGGGAACCGUUGAUAAAUAUU